UACGGGGGGGGCAAGCGUUGUUCGGAAUUACUGGGCGUAAAGGGCUCGUAGGUGGCCAACUAAGUCAGACGUGAAAUCCCUCAGCUUAACUGGGGAACUGCGUCUGAUACUGGAUGGCUUGAGUUUGGGAGAGGGAUGCGGAAUUCCAGGUGUAACGGUGAAAUGCGUAGAUAUCUGGAGGAACACCGGUGGCGAAGGCGGCAUCCUGGACCAACACUGACACUGAGGAGCGAAAGCCAGGGGAGCAAACGGG
Molecule: ribosomal RNA, 253 nt
Filed under: uncultured bacterium
Lineage: Bacteria
Description: partial 16S ribosomal RNA
Rfam family: Bacterial small subunit ribosomal RNA
Source: RNAcentral